RNAcentral lists this ribosomal RNA (468 nucleotides) under uncultured bacterium. RNAcentral describes it as "partial 16S ribosomal RNA". It matches the Rfam family "Bacterial small subunit ribosomal RNA", at positions 28 to 507 of the family's 1533-position model. The record is from RNAcentral.
GACGAACGCUGGCGGCGUGCUUAACACAUGCGAGUCGAACGGAAAGGCCCUGCUUUUGUGGGGUGCUCGAGCGGCGAACGGGUGAGUAACACGUGAGUAACCUGCCCUUGACUUUGGGAUAACUUCAGGAAACUGGGGCUAAUACCGGAUAGGAGCUCCUGCUGCAUGGUGGGGGUUGGAAAGUUUCGGCGGUUGGGGAUGGACUCGCGGCUUAUCAGCUUGUUGGUGGGGUAGUGGCUUACCAAGGCUUUGACGGGUAGCCGGCCUGAGAGGGUGACCGGCCACAUUGGGACUGAGAUACGGCCCAGACUCCUACGGGAGGCAGCAGUGGGGAAUAUUGCACAAUGGGCGGAAGCCUGAUGCAGCAACGCCGCGUGCGGGAUGACGGCCUUCGGGUUGUAAACCGCUUUCGCCUGUGACGAAGCGUGAGUGACGGUAAUGGGUAAAGAAGCACCGGCUAACUACGUG